UGAGACCUCAGUGGUUGUUUUAAAGCGCUUUAUAAAUAAAGUUGGAUUGGAUUGGAUCUAUUAAUUAGUCAUCAUUUAGCUAACAUCAUCUACAUGCAACAGCAUUACUCAACUUACAAGGUUUGUUUGGAAGAAACUGUGCAAGGUUUUUUGCUUCUUGCUGGCUGGUUUGCUGCACUGCCCAGCACACGUCUUGUCUGUGCCAUUGAUUCAGAUCACAACACCACAGCAUGUGUAUGCGCCUUGCACCGUCUACUCAUGGUGCAUUUAAGACAGCUCGGAAAAACACGUUCCUACAUGUUAAAAACAAAUUGAAUGGUUGUAAUGGCUGUAAAUAAAAGUGCGGGGAAGGGAGGGCACAGAUAUGGGAAGUUCGGGGGACAUGUCCCCUGUGUCGUCGUCCCCCAAAUUACAUCUGUGCCUGCACACACAGAUUCUAGAUUAACAAGGGGGAUGCUUUUUGGUCAAUUUUCUAAGAAAGGGGAUAGCAUCCGCCCUCAUCUCGACCACUGAAUAUUAUUAUUAUUAUUAUUAUUAUUAUUACAUAUGAUGUGUAUGUUAUAUUACAAGCUUUUCUCCUGCUCCUUUAGCAGAUAUCAUGGAGAUGGGUCAGGGACUUCCUCUGGGACCUGCACCGCCGUACCCUGGUCCCCAAUGCAAUGUGGGAGUCUACCAAACUCUGCCUUGCAUCCAGUUCAGUAAGAGAUCAGGGACCUUCAUCUGUAUCAUUUUGUCUGCAUGUUUUAGCCUAAUAUACCUCUUAUAUUCUGGAGGUAUUCCUGGUAGGAGCCUUUUGGCGGCUUGUUUGUCAUUCUGUUCUUUGAACCAUACUCAAGUUGUCUUCUUCUAACAUCCAGUUAAUCAACCCGCCUACCUGUACAGCCCACAACAACCUCAACCUGUGACCCCGGUGGUGAUGGUGCAGCCGAUGCCAACUGAAGUUCCUGGACAGAUGUUGUGUCCUUAUUGCCAGAACACAGUAAUCACUAAAACUGAGCACAAAAUUGGUUUGCUCACCUGACUGAUCUGUGGCGUCUUAACAAUAUUCUUGUGCUGGUUUUGCUACUGUAUCCCCUUCUGCAUGAAUAACUGCAAGGAUGUGAAGCAUUCCUGCCCCCUCUGUAACAACGUCCUGCACCUUCAUAUACGCAUAUAAAACAGCACUGCAGUGUCAACACAGCUGAAGUGGCAACAAAAGGUGCAGGAGUCAACCAUGACUAAAUAAACAUCUGGACAGGAGCCAAACCCUGUUAUACAAACACAAUGGACAUCAAGAUUGAGAAAAGCUGUGAUUUAAUCUUUUCUCUUGUUCAACUGUGUUGUAAAUAAUGUAAAAAUGUAAUAUAAUCUACAUCUGUGUUAAAUAUAGGCAAGAAUUUAGGAGGGUAAAUAAUAAAACUCUUACUUACUGGUGUAAAAUGCAG
Epinephelus fuscoguttatus (brown-marbled grouper) is the source of this 1424-nucleotide long non-coding RNA. RefSeq lists it as uncharacterized. Lineage: Eukaryota; Metazoa; Chordata; Actinopteri; Perciformes; Serranidae. The record is from RefSeq and is a predicted model, not a curated record. The transcript is spliced from 3 exons.